GAUCGGGGAACUUUCACAUUCCCAGGUCCUUUAUCGUAUUGUCUAUCACUGUGUCACCGACUACAGGAUUUCUGCAGGCACUCCUUCAGGAGAGGAAGAUUGCUCUUACUUGGGGCUGACCUUGGGAGUUUCACAAGUAUAUUCAGGCCUCGUUGAUGGGUCCUGAGGUAACACAAAGGACCAGGAGAGUUUGCAGCUGUCUGUUAGAAUGAACUCGUACCAAACACAUUUGCCACAGUGUGUUUUUCAGCUUCCUGUCAAGACAUCACGAUGAACCCAGCCAUGGGCAUUAGCGGGGACCUUUAUGGCAGGACACAGAUAGGAGAGGCUGGGGUCCUAAAGCACAGGACAGGUUAUCUCAUCUCCACAUAGCUAAGUUCUUGUCAGGAGAACACAGUGAACCUCACUGUGGUUGGUAACAGAUCCUUACUAGUAACCAGAUAUCCUCUUAAGA
Molecule: long non-coding RNA, 454 nt
Organism: Lontra canadensis (Northern American river otter)
Lineage: Eukaryota; Metazoa; Chordata; Mammalia; Carnivora; Mustelidae
Exons: 3
Source: RefSeq, a predicted model, not a curated record